GACGAACGCUGGCGGCGUGCUUAACACAUGCAAGUCGAACGGAAAGGCCCCUUUGGGGGUACUCGAGUGGCGAACGGGUGAGUAACACGUGAGUAACCUGCCCUUGACUUCGGGAUAACUUCAGGAAACUGGGGCUAAUACCGGAUAGGAAUCCUUGCUGCAUGGUGGGGGUUGGAAAGCUUCGGCGGUUUUGGAUGGACUCGCGGCUUAUCAGCUUGUUGGUGGGGUAGUGGCUUACCAAGGCUUUGACGGGUAGCCGGCCUGAGAGGGCGACCGGCCACAUUGGGACUGAGAUACGGCCCAGACUCCUACGGGAGGCAGCAGUGGGGAAUAUUGCACAAUGGGCGGAAGCCUGAUGCAGCAGCGCCGCGUGCGGGAUGACGGCCUUCGGGUUGUAAACCGCUUUCAGCAGGGGCGAAGCUUGUGGUGACGGUACCUGCAGAAGAAGCACCGGCUAACUACGUG
This 465-nucleotide ribosomal RNA is filed under the name uncultured bacterium. Its description in RNAcentral is "partial 16S ribosomal RNA". It matches the Rfam family "Bacterial small subunit ribosomal RNA", at positions 28 to 507 of the family's 1533-position model. The record is from RNAcentral.